AUGUCCUGGAACGUCAGAGGCCUCAAUGCGCCGGCCAGGCGAACGACUGUGAAUGAGGUAGUGCUGGCAAAUAAGUUGGGCAUCCUAUGCCUACAAGAAACCAAAAUCGAGGAAUGGUCACCUCAAUUAGCCAGGGAUAUUGGUGGAUCAUCUCUUCAGGGUUGUGCGGUCCUGCCGGUAGUAGGAUCAAGAGGUGGGCUGGCCCUUUUUUGGGACGAGUCGAUCCUGAAAGUGGAAACCCAGGCGGUUGGGCAAUUCUCUCUGACGGCCAAAGUGACGCUGCUGCUGUCA
Molecule: ribosomal RNA, 291 nt
Filed under: Triticum aestivum (bread wheat)
Lineage: Eukaryota; Viridiplantae; Streptophyta; Magnoliopsida; Poales; Poaceae
Description: partial small subunit ribosomal RNA
Source: RNAcentral